AGAGUUUGAUCAUGGCUCAGGACGAACGCUGGCGGCAUGCCUAACACAUGCAAGUCGAACGGGGGUAGCAAUACCCUAGUGGCGAACGGGUGAGUAACACAUAAGCAAUCUGCCCUUCACAGGGGGAUAACAGCGGGAGACUGCUGCUAAUACCGCAUAAGACCACAGUACCGCAUGGUACAGGGGUAAAAACGAAUCAGUGGUGAAGGAUGAGCUUAUGUCCCAUUAGCUAGUUGGUGAGAUAACAGCCCACCAAGGCGACGAUGGGUAGCCGACCUGAGAGGGUGAUCGGCCACACUGGAACUGAGACACGGUCCAGACUCCUACGGGAGGCAGCAGUGGGGAAUAUUGGGCAAUGGAGGAAAAACCUCUUACCCAGCAAUGCCGCGUGAGUGAAGAAGGUCUUCGGAUUGUAAAGCUCUUUGAUUGGGGACGAAGAAAGUGACGGUACCCAAAGAACAAGCCCCGGCUAACUACGUGCCAGCCGCUGC
RNAcentral lists this ribosomal RNA (491 nucleotides) under uncultured bacterium. Its description in RNAcentral is "bacterial SSU rRNA". It matches the Rfam family "Bacterial small subunit ribosomal RNA", at positions 8 to 518 of the family's 1533-position model. The record is from RNAcentral.